This is a long non-coding RNA of Sebastes umbrosus (honeycomb rockfish), 615 nucleotides long. RefSeq lists it as uncharacterized. Lineage: Eukaryota; Metazoa; Chordata; Actinopteri; Perciformes; Sebastidae. The record is from RefSeq and is a predicted model, not a curated record. The transcript has 3 exons.
UUUAGGUAAUUUGUGUUUUAAAUGGAGGAAAUACCUGGUGAGAUUCCAGUAAGGUGAGAGGUCUUCCUUCUCAUCAGCUGGUUCGCGUUCAUGUUAUAUAAUUUAUGUGUCGUAAAUUAUGAGAAAAAACUUGGAACACAGUGGAUGAAUAUGUGAUGAUUUUUUGACCUAGUUUGAUCCCCAGGUUUCACCCCACCUACACCAGACAGUCACAGAAUUACACAUGAUGUAGUCACACAUCAUUCCUGAUCAAAACUACAACAACACAAUUAGAUGGAAACUGUUUCUGUCCAAACAGGCCCAAAGUGACUUCCAUAACCUGAACUGAACCAUGACCCUUUUUCCUGAAAGUUUGAGAUUUCCUGCUGAUGGAUAAUGGGUCCAAUUAUAAAAACUGCUGCCUGUUAUUUUGCUGUUACCACAUACUGUAGGUCUCAGUCUUGCAUCAUUGUCAGUUGAAUAUAUGGGGAAAACAAUCCAUUUGAAGACAUCCCUUUGUGUUCUGUGAAAUUGUGACUGGCAUAUUUCACUAUUUUCUGUCAUUUUAUAGACUAAAUAAGUAGUCAAUUAAAUGGAAAAAAAACAUCAGAUGAACUGGUAAUGAAAAACAAUAGU